This is a non-coding RNA of Camellia sinensis, 463 nucleotides long. NCBI's taxonomy places the organism in Eukaryota, Viridiplantae, Streptophyta, Magnoliopsida, Ericales, Theaceae. The record is from RefSeq and is a predicted model, not a curated record.
AGUUAACCUCUUUUAUAUAUGAUCAUGCAGUUGAUUGCUGUUAUUUUGGGUCAUCUUUGGACCUCUGAGCACCCAAAAAUGAGAACAAGAAUUGAACUACUACUGAAGCAGAAUAAACUCACCAAGAACAAUGUUAAGGAUAUACUUCAGGAAUAUCACGACAACAUUGGUGAUCUGGAUGGGCCAGAAGAGAAGGAUAGGGCGCAGACAAAGAUCCAAAAAUUCAUCUCAGCCUUUUGAGCCUUUUUGAUAAUUGUUGAUCAAUUUGUAGUUCAAGAAACAAUAUGUGCCUGCAUGUUUCAGUUACUGGAAAUAUGUUGAUUUGAUUGAUUUCUCAGCUCUUUGUACCCGAUAUGUAAUCAUUUUAGUUUAGAGCUGGAUCCGUUGUCAGUGCUUUCGAUUCAGCACUGAUACUUGUUAGACUUCUCUAUUAAGCAAAACGGAACUGCUACGUAGCUGGAAA